This is a long non-coding RNA of Cyprinus carpio (common carp), 1839 nucleotides long. The record is from Ensembl. NCBI's taxonomy places the organism in Eukaryota, Metazoa, Chordata, Actinopteri, Cypriniformes, Cyprinidae.
CUUGGUUGAACACCAGUAGCUGCUCAAAUCAACUGUCCUGAGAACCACAGAGUGGCGUGAUGCUGUUUCUUCUUCUUUUGGUGUCAUUGGUUUGCUCUGGACUGUCAGUGGAGAGCCAUGGAAAAUACUUCAUCACGGCAUUCCCAGAAAACAUUGCCUACUACCAUCCACAGGAGUCUUCCAACACUCUCCAAAUUACUGCUUUCUACGACGACACCCUCGUCUCAAUCAGCAUCAACUACACAAACGUAUAUAAUGAUAAGCUACAGUCUGGGCAGAUUAAAAUUGUACAUUUUCCCAAGUACAUCGAGCAAUAUCAGUUCACAAACUCCUCUCUUUUAGUCAAAGUCCACAGCACUGAAAAGAUCGUGGUGCAGUGGCUCAGUAAACGCGGCGAUAGCGUGCAGUCUAACGUCGUUCAACCUGUUAGAAAUCUCGGAAAGUGGUAUUCAAUCCCAUUUAUCAAUUACAAUCAGAUGAUGGCGUCCUUGUACAAUAUGUCAGAUCAGUUAGCUCCAGACAACUGGAGAUACAAUUCAUUCAGGCUGAUCAUUAUCAACGCCGAGCAUGCUGUGAACUUAAUCACUGUGCGUACUAUCAGCACGGAUGGUCAAGAAGCGUUUAACAUUACUCUCAGACCUUACGAACUUUACCAGUUCCAAACUAACGGUUCGGACAUUAAACUGUACUCUAAUGCCAUCAUGGCUGUGCUGUUAACCCAUCCGUGUGUAGAAACUACCGUAUGUGAUUGCACUAUGGUGGUGAGCCACGUUCUCCCCGAAAAGCUGUGGGGUGACACGUUUGUCGUGCCAUUGGUGAAGAACCUGAAUACAGCCUGGCUGCAAGUGACUAACACAACGGAAGUAUGGCUCAAUGGCAGGAAUAUAAAAGCUCAACAGUCCAAUUCCUCAGAGCUAAUUCCCUUCCCGGAACUUAAGAGUGCAUCUCAGUUCAUCAGUGCAUCAAAUGAGGUGUCCAUCAGACUUAUCAGUCCAGGCCUCGUCUUAGAACUCAUACCAGAAACCAUGUUCGCUGCUUGUUACCUGGUUCAGAUGAACUCGACAGAGGGUGAGGCUGUUAUCAUAGCUGAAACAGCCAGUAAGGACUAUGUGUAUAUAGACAAGAAAUUACUGAGAUCCACUGACUGGAAACCCAUUCCCUAUUCAAACUACUCUUCCAUAUCUGUGUCACUUAAUGGUGUGCAUAUCAUCUGGCACCCAACCUCCAAGAUCGGAGUGUAUAGGUUUGAGAAGAUGGAGAGUGGAAUUCCUUAUGGAAGCCCAGCUAUCAUUUUAAACGAAGACCCAGAUCAUGAUGGCUGUGUGGCAGAUUCUGCACAAUUUAAGACCACUACUGAUGUCAUGACAUGGUCCCAGUCCCGUCAUUACUGCCUAAAUAUAUCUUACCAGCUGAGCACACCAAGCAGUGAAAUGUCCCAAAAAGAGAUGACCAACUUUCUGCAAAACAAUGGAAGUCGCGGGUACCUCUGGAUCGGUCUGCGACGCAGUCAGUUCAUGUCAGAGUGGUAUUGGCAGAAAGGCAAUGACAGCGAAUACAGUGUGAACUACACGAAGUGGGCUGAUGGGCAUCCAGAUAAGCCCUGGAAAGCUUGCGCUGCUGUGUCCCAAGAUGCCAACAAGGAGUUUUCCUGGAAGAGUUUGCCCUGUUGCACCAAGCUAAGGCCCAUCUGCUACAAAGGCAAAUACUUUAGUGAUGUGACCUUUAAUACACUAUAUGAUCAUUAUAGCAUUACUUCCCCAAAUGUCUGUCCUUCUUGCCAAAAUUCUUGACCUGAAGUUAGUAACUGCAAUAAUAAAUCAUAUUACAAAAGUUUAAUCA